RNAcentral lists this long non-coding RNA (199 nucleotides) under Lathyrus oleraceus (garden pea). RNAcentral's name for it is "Pisum sativum (pea) long non-coding RNA (PSAT_LNC006066)". The record is from RNAcentral. Lineage: Eukaryota; Viridiplantae; Streptophyta; Magnoliopsida; Fabales; Fabaceae.
AAAAUUCUCAGGAUCGUGAAUAUGGCCUCAAUUUUCUCCAAUUCUAAGUAUAUAAAAAGAUAUAGGGAUUCGAAUUUUGAGGAUCAUGAACUGAGUUGCUUCGAUUUGAACUCAAAGCAACUCAAUCUUGUUACCUACAUUGGUAGGACUUUAGCCAACCAAAAAACAUAAAGAAUGGUGAAGAAUUGAGAGAGAAUCA